Molecule: ribosomal RNA, 460 nt
Filed under: uncultured bacterium
Lineage: Bacteria
Description: partial 16S ribosomal RNA
Rfam family: Bacterial small subunit ribosomal RNA
Source: RNAcentral
CCUACGGGAGGCAGCAGUGAGGAAUAUUGGUCAAUGGACGAGAGUCUGAACCAGCCAAGUAGCGUGAAGGAUGACUGCCCUAUGGGUUGUAAACUUCUUUUAUAUGGGAAUAAAACGUUCCACGUGUGGGAUUUUGUAUGUACCAUAUGAAUAAGGAUCGGCUAACUCCGUGCCAGCAGCCGCGGUAAUACGGAGGAUCCGAGCGUUAUCCGGAUUUAUUGGGUUUAAAGGGAGCGUAGGUGGAUUGUUAAGUCAGUUGUGAAAGUUUGCGGCUCAACCGUAAAAUUGCAGUUGAAACUGGCAGUCUUGAGUACAGUAGAGGUGGGCGGAAUUCGUGGUGUAGCGGUGAAAUGCUUAGAUAUCACGAAGAACUCCGAUUGCGAAGGCAGUUCACUGGACUGCAACUGACACUGAAGCUCGAAAGUGUGGGUAUCAAACAGGAUUAGAUACCCGAGUAGUC